AGCUCAACACCAAGAUGUGACCACCGAUGACAAGUCCGGGAGGGUGACGGUUGGUAACCGUGUGUCGCAGGUUCGAAUCCUGCCGGGG
Molecule: transfer RNA, 88 nt
Filed under: Plantactinospora soyae
Lineage: Bacteria; Bacillati; Actinomycetota; Actinomycetes; Micromonosporales; Micromonosporaceae
Description: tRNA-Thr
Source: RNAcentral